UCUACCACUGCCAUAUACUCUACCUUAUUAUAGCAAACAAAGUAAUACUAGACUUUAAAAUUGCUUUUCAACUGAUGACAAAAUCUGAGAGAGUAAAGACAUAACCUAUUAAAGAUCUUCUCCUAUCCAAAUCAUCAAUAUAAUAAGAGUCCAUAUAAGCAAUAAAACUACUGCAAGUGUUUGAACCCCAACUAUGUACCAAACCAACAUCCAUAGUGCCUCUCAAACAGUGUAAGAUCUAUUUCACAGCCU
Molecule: long non-coding RNA, 252 nt
Filed under: Elaeis guineensis (African oil palm)
Lineage: Eukaryota; Viridiplantae; Streptophyta; Magnoliopsida; Arecales; Arecaceae
Description: long non-coding RNA (EGUI_LNC017691)
Source: RNAcentral